UGGCUAUGAUUCAAAACUAUCCGCGCUUCUGAGAGUAAUCAAUGAAGCAUAAAAUCACAAUGGUUGAAUUUCUUGAUAUGAGCCA
This is a small nucleolar RNA of Impatiens glandulifera, 85 nucleotides long. Lineage: Eukaryota; Viridiplantae; Streptophyta; Magnoliopsida; Ericales; Balsaminaceae. The record is from RefSeq and is a predicted model, not a curated record.